Cebus imitator (Panamanian white-faced capuchin) is the source of this 438-nucleotide long non-coding RNA. RefSeq lists it as uncharacterized. The record is from RefSeq and is a predicted model, not a curated record. The transcript has 2 exons. Lineage: Eukaryota; Metazoa; Chordata; Mammalia; Primates; Cebidae.
CUUUUUUUUUUUUGCCAGAACUUAAGUCCUUUGAAAUUAAUUGCUUAACUUUUUAUGUAAGAUUAUAUUUUUUUCCUAAUGACUCAUAAUUAACCUGAGUUAAUGCAUGCAUUUUCAGAGCAAGUAAUAGGUUGUUAUUAUGGAGAUCUUGCUGAGAGAUUUCAAAGAUGGUUACCUGGACAGUCAGAACUGAAAGAUAAAAAGGGCCCUGAAUUUAAGCUUCUUACUAGAUUUAGGGAAUUGUACUCACAUCUGCUUAUCUUUAAAUCAUUUUAUUCUCUUGUAUAUGGUCUUGCAUUGCCUCAGACAUAAAUGAGCAUAUUCUGAUCUACUCUUGGGAUCUGAACUCAUUUUCACAGAUGCCUUCAAUUAAAUUGCAGAGUUCUGAUGGAGAGAUAUUUGAAGUUGAUGUGGAAAUUGCCAAACAAUCUGUGACUA